AACGAACGCUGGCGGCGUGCUUAACACAUGCAAGUCGAAUGCGAGCGCUCUCUUCGGAGAGCGAGUAGCAUGGCAGACGGGUGAGGACCACGUAACUGACCUGACCUUCGAUGGGGGAUAGUCGUCCGAAAGGAGGUUGAAUACCGCAUACGUUCGUUUUUGCAGAUGCGAGAACGAAGAAAGCCGGCCUCUGCAAGCAAGCUGGUGUCGAGGGAGGGGGUUGCGUCCUAUUAGCUGGUUGGUGGGGUAAUGGCCUACCAAGGCGACGAUGGGUCGCUGGUCUGAGAGGAUGAUCAGCCACACUGGGACUGAGACACGGCCCAGACUCCUACGGGAGGCAGCAGUGGGGAAUUUUGCGCAAUGGACGCAAGUCUGACGCAGCAACGCCGCGUGAGUGAUGACGCCUUUCGAGGUGUAAAGCUCUGUCA
This 428-nucleotide ribosomal RNA is filed under the name uncultured bacterium. RNAcentral describes it as "bacterial SSU rRNA". It matches the Rfam family "Bacterial small subunit ribosomal RNA", at positions 29 to 438 of the family's 1533-position model. The record is from RNAcentral.